CACUGCACAGGCGCAGGGCCUGGCCACCAAGGCUGCGCGCCUGGGCGCGGGCGGGCGGGACCUACAGCGCACAGCGUUCCAGGGACCCGCGAGAGCCUGCCGGGGCCCUGGGCUCCACGCCCAGCCUGACGUGCUGCCUCCUGCCGGCGUCGCGGGGACAGGCUGCCCCUCGAGGUUCCUCUGUCCCUUUUCCCAGGACUGACCUGGCCAGGCGCCAGCCAGCGGGCCGGCAUCCGCCGGGACCUUCCUUGGUGGCGGCCGAGCGCCCCGAGGGCUCGCUUCUGAACUCCUGGGUCUGUGCUGGCUUCUCCCACAGCCAGGAGAGGCUGUUGUCCCAGCCAGGCCGCGCCAGCUGCCGGCGUGGACCACGGUGCCGGGUCCUGCCCAGAACAGUCGCCCCGCUGAGCAGCUCUGGCUCACAAAGACCGCGCCAGCGUCAUCCAGGCGCACACCGCAGCCAGGAUCUUGCAGUCUUGCAGAUUGAACACUAUAAACCGCAGUGCUGACCUCAAAUGCUCAAAUGGAUCCAGAAAACUACUGUUAAAAAAAAAAAAAAGGAUUUUAGGAGAAAAUGGAGCUGUAAUUAUAACCAGGUGAGAUUGUGCUGCUUAGACUCUAAGAUCUAA
This 626-nucleotide long non-coding RNA is filed under the name Ictidomys tridecemlineatus (thirteen-lined ground squirrel). RNAcentral's name for it is "lncRNA (ENSSTOG00000031564.1)". Lineage: Eukaryota; Metazoa; Chordata; Mammalia; Rodentia; Sciuridae. The record is from RNAcentral.